This 232-nucleotide ribosomal RNA is filed under the name uncultured bacterium. Its description in RNAcentral is "partial 16S ribosomal RNA". It matches the Rfam family "Bacterial small subunit ribosomal RNA", at positions 102 to 334 of the family's 1533-position model. The record is from RNAcentral.
CACGGGUGAGUAACACGUAUCCAACCUGCCGUCUACUCUUGGACAGCCUUCUGAAAGGAAGAUUAAUACAAGAUGGCAUCAUGAGUCCGCAUGUUCACAUGAUUAAAGGUAUUCCGGUAGACGAUGGGGAUGCGUUCCAUAGAUAGUAGGCGGGGUAACGGCCCACCUAGUCUUCGAUGGAUAGGGGUUCUGAGAGGAAGGUCCCCCACAUUGGAACUGAGACACGGUCCAA